GCUUAACACAUGCAAGUCGAACGGUAACAGGAAUUAGCUUGCUAAUUUGCUGACGAGUGGCGGACGGGUGAGUAAUGCUUGGGAAUCUGGCUUAUGGAGGGGGAUAACUACGGGAAACUGUAGCUAAUACCGCGUAAAAUCUUCGGAUUAAAGGGUGGGACUUUCGAGCCACCUGCCAUAAGAUGAGCCCAAGUGGGAUUAGGUAGUUGGUUAGGUAAAGGCUGACCAAGCCGACGAUCUCUAGCUGGUCUGAGAGGAUGACCAGCCACACUGGAACUGAGACACGGUCCAGACUCCUACGGGAGGCAGCAGUGGGGAAUAUUGCACAAUGGGGGGAACCCUGAUGCAGCCAUGCCGCGUGAAUGAAGAAGGCCUUCGGGUUGUAAAGUUCUUUCGGUGACGAGGAAGGUUGAUAGGUUAAUAGCCUAUCAAAUUGACGUUAAUCACAGAAGAAGCACCGGCUAACUCCGUGCCAGCAGCCGCGGUAAUACGGGGGGUGCGAGCGUUAAUCGGAAUAACUGGGCGUAAAGGGCACGCAGGCGGUGACUUAA
RNAcentral lists this ribosomal RNA (551 nucleotides) under uncultured Haemophilus sp. Its description in RNAcentral is "bacterial SSU rRNA". It matches the Rfam family "Bacterial small subunit ribosomal RNA", at positions 46 to 586 of the family's 1533-position model. The record is from RNAcentral. Lineage: Bacteria; Pseudomonadati; Pseudomonadota; Gammaproteobacteria; Pasteurellales; Pasteurellaceae.